AAAUGAAAUCAAAUUUUAUAAAACCAUAGGAACUGGGUAUUCAGUUUAUUCUAUUUUCCUACCUUUACAGGAAGAAGCCAUGAAUUUAAUAACUAGAGAAACAAUGUAUGAAUGGAAAAUACAAACUGAGAUACAGAUAAGUCAAUCUUGGGAAGAAGGCUUGAAACUGAAUGACAAUGGCUCACAGAAAUCAUCCUCUCUAAAGUGCAUUGAUUUAACACCAGUAUCCUCAAUGCCUUCUUCCAUCAAGAAGACUGGGAAGCAGUUUUUCUCUCCAUCAUUACAAACUUGUGUGAGUUGCACUGGUUCUCCUUCAAGUCACAUUCCCAGUCCUACGCAACAAUACAUCAUGUAAGUUUAUGUUUUAUGAAAAUACCAAAUUGCUUAUAAAACAAGAAUUAUAGAAACUUAAAAGAAAUUAUAGCUCCAAGUUUUGUGCCAACCAAAGAAGUGACUUCUUUUUAGGGAAAUUAAAAUGUCAUUGUUUCGGCCGGGCAUGGUGGCUCAUGCCUGUAAUCCUAGCACUUUGGGAGGCCAAGGCGGGCGGAUUACCUGAGGUCAGGAGUUCAAGACCAGCCUGAGCAACAUGGAGAAACCCCGUCUCUACUAAAAAUACAAAAUUAGCCAGGCGUGGUGGCUCAUGUCUGUAAUACCAGCUACUAGGGAGGCUGAGGCAGGAGAAUUGCUUGAACCCAGGAGGUAGAGGUUUGCGGUGAGCCAAGAUCACGCCAUUGCACUCCAGCCUGGGCAACAAGAGCAAAACUCCAUCUCAAAAAAAAAAAGUCACUGUUUCAGUUUAUCAUUUUGUAUAUUGAAAAAGUCAGGUGACUAAGAACAUAAGAAGAAUUUAGUAAUUCCUUCCCCCUGCUAAUACAUAAUCUUUCUCUAACCAAGUUUGUUAAUAAGGAUCAGAGCUAUCUUUAGAACUUUAAACAACUUCAACCGUGAUUCUCACCUUCAUUCAAGGCAAGUCCCAGCCAGGACUAUAGGUUUUUGUAGACUCUAGGAUUCAAAAUCCUGAAUCCUUGAGAAUUAGAAGAUAGUUUGC
Molecule: long non-coding RNA, 1048 nt
Filed under: Rhinopithecus bieti (black snub-nosed monkey)
Lineage: Eukaryota; Metazoa; Chordata; Mammalia; Primates; Cercopithecidae
Description: lncRNA (ENSRBIG00000046789.1)
Source: RNAcentral